GCGCCUGUAGCUCAAUUGGAUAGAGCGGCAGCCUUCUAAGCUGCGGGUUGGGGGUUCGAUUCCCUCCAGGCGUACCA
Molecule: transfer RNA, 77 nt
Filed under: Acidobacteriota bacterium
Lineage: Bacteria; Pseudomonadati; Acidobacteriota
Also listed under: 1 other name
Description: Acidobacteria bacterium tRNA-Arg
Rfam family: tRNA
About the family: Transfer RNA (tRNA) molecules are approximately 80 nucleotides in length. Their secondary structure includes four short double-helical elements and three loops (D, anti-codon, and T loops). Further hydrogen bonds mediate the characteristic L-shaped molecular structure. tRNAs have two regions of fundamental functional importance: the anti-codon, which is responsible for specific mRNA codon recognition, and the 3' end, to which the tRNAs corresponding amino acid is attached (by aminoacyl-tRNA synthetases). tRNAs cope with the degeneracy of the genetic code in two manners: having more than one tRNA (with a specific anti-codon) for a particular amino acid; and 'wobble' base-pairing, i.e. permitting non-standard base-pairing at the 3rd anti-codon position.
Source: RNAcentral